Molecule: long non-coding RNA, 2126 nt
Filed under: Heterocephalus glaber (naked mole-rat)
Lineage: Eukaryota; Metazoa; Chordata; Mammalia; Rodentia; Bathyergidae
Description: lncRNA (ENSHGLG00100039178.1)
Source: RNAcentral
AAGCAUUUGGGAGAAAAUGAAUAGGUUCCGGGGGAAAUGACCAAAAAGAUUACUCAAAUAAGGGAAAAGAUGGCAACUAUGCCGCCCUCCUAGAGCGGAAGUACUUAUGACUACGAAGAGUUCUCCGAACUACAUUUCCCAGAGUGCAUAUGCACAGUUUUUCUGGAGCGUGGAGUGUCUCGGACGCCAGGCGGUCCUGGGCUACAUUGUCCCAGAAUGCAAUAGAGAUGUCUAUUUAGGACAAAAUAUUUGAAAUUAGAUCUCCAAAAUGAAAGGGUCGCCGAAGAAGCGGGGACACACGGACGUUCAAACAAGCUUUAUUGGGGCGGCAGUCUGCAGCCUGCCGGGCUGACUCACAGAAUGGAGACCAGCAACUGCAUGGGCUGAGCUGGAAGCUUAUAUAGGGAUCUUGCAGGCAGCGGCACCACUGAGCUAAACCACCGGCCCAAAGGAUGCAGCAACAAGGCACCAUCACAGAAGCAGAAAGCAGCCCUUACCAGACACACAACCAGCCAGAGCCUUCAUUUUGAACUCCCCCACCUCCAGUACAGCGAUAAAUAAAUUUCUAUUGUUUAUAAAUUACCCAGUCUGCGAUAUUCUGGUAUAGCAACACAAAUGGCCUAAGAAAUAAGGUUAGCCUUUGAUUGGUGUCUGGGUACCUGGAUUUGGGGAGGAUUUCCACACUUUCUUGAUAAGUUACUUACAAUGCCUAAGCUAUUUGUACAAUGUGGUUGAUGCUGAAUACCAGUUGUCCUUUGGGGAGUCUAGAAUUUUAGAAUGAGCUUAACAGAGGUUGCCUAAGUCACCAUUUCCUAAAAAGAACCUAGGUCACUAAGACUCUGCUGAGAUUCCCUGGUAGAUAUUUUUCACAGAUUUUUUUUUUUUUUGUACCAGGGAUCAAACUCGGGACCUUGCGCUUGCGAGGCAGGCUGCGGAACCACUGAGCUAAGUCCCCGGCCCAGAUUUUUACAAUCUAAUGCUGAACUAACUUAGUAAAUCAUGUGUAACAGGCAUAGGACUCUUGCAACCUUGCACCUGAUUUUCCCCAGACUACAUCCAAUGAGCAUUUUCCCUUUGCUAGUUUACUUUGUAUCCUUUCACUCUAAUAUCAUUAUAGUGAGAUAUCAGUCAUGAGUAUGAAAAAAUAGGGUGUCUUGAGUCCUCUUUGUGAAUGACAGAAUGUAGAGGUGGUCUUGGGAACAACUCAUGCACCAUGCAAAUUGAGACAGCAUGAACCUUAAUAGGUACUGAGCAUUAUGCAAAGAGAUGCUCCCGAAAAUCAAGUGGGGGAACUGGUCUCCCGACUAGAUGUAACUGAUCGAGUAAAGCUCUUUAUUCAACUACACUGAAAAUAUCACAAUCAUGUCUAAGUCAUAUGAAAUGACAUCCAAACCCACUUUGUCCUUACUGGCUCCACAUUCCAGGGAAGGCCCACUGCUAUUAUGCUAUGCUAUGUCCUCUCCUUACUCAUACCUUUCCUUCAGGGAUCUUAUUCUGGAAUCCCUCCACAACAUAUGGAUCUCCAUUUUGUUUCUAUUUCCAGGAUAUGCCUUCUCCCUGUUAUGGAUUGUAGCAUGCCUUAACUGCAAAAAUAGAGUUGUUCAUACUCAUCAAUUUAUCUGCAUAGCCAAACAACCAGAAAAUUAUGUGCAUUUGCGCAAUUAGCUUCCACAGCACAUUAUUUAAUUCUGGGAUCUCCUGUCCCACAUAACAAUAUGAAAUGAUCAUAUUUUGAGGCUCUACUUGUAAGGGAUUAUUUGGUACUUUUUCAAAUACUAUUGUACAUAAUUUAUUGCUUUAAUAACACUGUUCAAUACAAAGCCAAAACAAUUAAUGAAAUUACAAAAUGGAAAAACUACCACAAAGUGCUCGUUGCUAAAGAAAAUUAGUAAGGAAGAGUAUCUCUUUACCCAUUAUCUUAUGCAUGUAUACACAUAUAGACAUAUACUCACGAAGAUUUAAGUUUGGAUCUGCUACAAAAGCUACAAUUUAUGAUCUUACAAAGCUCACAUUAUAGAUAUUUUCCAUUUCUCCUGACAUUAUAGAUAUUUUCCAUCAUUUGAAUGGCUUCAGAUUAAUAACAUAGGAAAUAUAUAUAUUUAUUCAUCAAUUUCCUACAGAUGAAC